UGGGGAAUAUUGGACAAUGGGGCGAAAGCCUGACCCAGCGACGCCGCGUGAGGGAAGAAGGUCUUCGGAUUGUAAACCUUUGUCAACAGGGACGAAGCAAUGACGGUACCUGUGAAGGAAGCCACGGCUAACUACGUGCCAGCAGCCGCGGUAAUACGUAGGUGGCGAGCGUUAUCCGGAUUUACUGGGUGUAAAGGGUGAGUAGGCGGGAAGGCAAGUCAGAUGUGAAAUGCAAUGGCUCAACCAUUGAAUUGCAUUUGAAACUGUUUUUCUUGAGAGUCGGAGAGGUAAUCGGAAUUCCUAGUGUAGCGGUGAAAUGCGUAGAGAUUAGGAGGAACACCAGUGGCGAAGGCGGAUUACUGGACGACAACUGACGCUGAGACACGAAAGCGUAGGGAGCAAACAGGAUUAGAUACCCUGGUAGU
Molecule: ribosomal RNA, 425 nt
Filed under: uncultured Oscillospiraceae bacterium
Lineage: Bacteria; Bacillati; Bacillota; Clostridia; Eubacteriales; Oscillospiraceae
Description: bacterial SSU rRNA
Rfam family: Bacterial small subunit ribosomal RNA
Source: RNAcentral